AUUGAACGCUGGCGGCAGGCCUAACACAUGCAAGUCGAACGGUAACAGGAAACAGCUUGCUGUUUCGCUGACGAGUGGCGGACGGGUGAGUAAUGUCUGGGAAACUGCCUGAUGGAGGGGGAUAACUACUGGAAACGGUAGCUAAUACCGCAUAACGUCGCAAGACCAAAGAGGGGGACCUUCGGGCCUCUUGCCAUCGGAUGUGCCCAGAUGGGAUUAGCUAGUAGGUGGGGUAACGGCUCACCUAGGCGACGAUCCCUAGCUGGUCUGAGAGGAUGACCAGCCACACUGGAACUGAGACACGGUCCAGACUCCUACGGGAGGCAGCAGUGGGGAAUAUUGCACAAUGGGCGCAAGCCUGAUGCAGCCAUGCCGCGUGUAUGAAGAAGGCCUUCGGGUUGUAAAGUACUUUCAGCGAGGAUGAAGGGAGUAAAGUUAAUACCUUUGCUCAUUGACGUUACCCGCAGAAGAAGCACCGGCUAACUCCGUG
Molecule: ribosomal RNA, 490 nt
Filed under: uncultured bacterium
Lineage: Bacteria
Description: partial 16S ribosomal RNA
Rfam family: Bacterial small subunit ribosomal RNA
Source: RNAcentral